This 29-nucleotide non-coding RNA is filed under the name Rattus norvegicus (Norway rat). The record is from RNAcentral. Lineage: Eukaryota; Metazoa; Chordata; Mammalia; Rodentia; Muridae.
UCAGAACAUUGGGUGCUUCAAGUGAUUGC